GCCCGGGUAGUCUAGUGGUAUGAUUCGCGCUUAGGGUGCGCGAGGUCCCCGUCUAUCCCGGGUUCGGGCC
Molecule: transfer RNA, 70 nt
Filed under: Aspergillus flavus NRRL3357
Lineage: Eukaryota; Fungi; Ascomycota; Eurotiomycetes; Eurotiales; Aspergillaceae
Description: tRNA-Pro (AGG) (tRNA-Pro-AGG-2-1)
Source: RNAcentral